CCCUACGGGGCGCAGCAGUGGGGAAUAUUGCACAAUGGGGGAAACCCUGAUGCAGCGACGCCGCGUGGGCGAGGAAGUACCUCGGUAUGUAAAGCCCUAUCAGCAGGGAAGAAACAGGACAGUACCUGACUAAGAAGCCCCGGCUAACUACGUGCCAGCAGCCGCGGUAAUACGUAGGGGGCAAGCGUUAUCCGGAUUUACUGGGUGUAAAGGGAGCGUAGACGGCAUAGCAAGUCUGAAGUGAAAGCCCGUGGCUCAACCGCGGAACUGCUUUGGAAACUGUUAAGCUGGAGUACUGGAGAGGC
This 305-nucleotide ribosomal RNA is filed under the name uncultured bacterium. Its description in RNAcentral is "bacterial SSU rRNA". It matches the Rfam family "Bacterial small subunit ribosomal RNA", at positions 337 to 658 of the family's 1533-position model. The record is from RNAcentral.